Molecule: transfer RNA, 69 nt
Filed under: Ictidomys tridecemlineatus (thirteen-lined ground squirrel)
Lineage: Eukaryota; Metazoa; Chordata; Mammalia; Rodentia; Sciuridae
Description: Spermophilus tridecemlineatus (thirteen-lined ground squirrel) tRNA
Rfam family: tRNA
About the family: Transfer RNA (tRNA) molecules are approximately 80 nucleotides in length.
Source: Rfam by way of RNAcentral
GGGGUUGUAGCUCAGAGGUAGAGCCCUUGCCUGGCAUGCACGAGGCACAGGGUUAGAUCCUCAGCACCA